This 2013-nucleotide long non-coding RNA is filed under the name Citrus sinensis (sweet orange). Its description in RNAcentral is "long non-coding RNA (CSIN_LNC000470)". The record is from RNAcentral. Lineage: Eukaryota; Viridiplantae; Streptophyta; Magnoliopsida; Sapindales; Rutaceae.
CGACCUCUCCAAGUUACAGCCCCACUUCUCCCAGUUACAGUCCAACUUCACCAAGCUAUAGCCCCACCUCACCGGCAUAUAGCCCCACCUCACCUGCAUAUAGCCCCACCUCACCUGCAUACAGCCCCACUUCACCAUCGUACAGCCCAACCUCUCCUUCCUACAGCCCAACAUCACCUUCGUACAGCCCUACCUCACCGUCAUACAGCCCCACUUCUCCAUCGUACAGCCCCACUUCACCAGCCUAUAGCCCCACUUCUCCUGGUUAUAGUCCAACUUCACCAAGUUAUAGCCCAACUUCACCAACCUAUAGUCCUACAUCCCCAAGCUACAAUCCUCAGUCUGCCAAAUACAGUCCGUCGCUGGCCUACUCACCAAGUAGUCCAAGAUUAUCUCCUGCCAGUCCGUACAGCCCUACAUCUCCAAAUUACAGGUAAGCCAUAGUGCGAUAUGUGGUCAAGUCUAAUGUUUGUGUUAAAAGCUGUAUCCAAUUUAUUAGGUCUUGUUUUUGAUAGAAUUCUAUAUACUGAAAUAUCUGUUGAACCUAAGACUUGCUGUAGCUGGGGAUUGGACUUGGAUGGGUUUAAAUUAUUAAUGAUUUUAUCUCUGUUGUUUUUAACAUUAUUAUAUCUGGAUGAUUAUGUUGAUGUAUCUUGUAAGCAACUUUUCUUUUUACGCAGUCCAACAUCAUCUUCGUAUUCACCGACAUCUCCCUCUAUGAUACUGGACCAAUGAUGAGAUGUUCAUUUGAAGAAACGGUUGACAUUCUUCUUGAUGCUGCAGUCUUUGCAGAAUCAGAUUAUUUGAGGGGGGUCACUGAGAAUAUAAUGUUAGGUCAGCUUGCGCCUAUUGGGACAGGAGACUGUUCAUUGUAUCUCAAUGAUGAGAUGCUGAAAAAUGCCAUCGAACUUCAGCUUCCUAGUUAUAUGGAAGGUCUGGAGUUUGGCAUGACACCUGCUCGUUCUCCGGUGUCUGGGACUCCUUAUCAUGAUGGCAUGAUGUCUCCAGGUUACUUGUUUAGCCCAAAUCUCCGUCUGUCCCCGGUCACGGAUGCCCAGUUUUCUCCUUAUGUUGGUGGAAUGGCCUUCUCUCCUACUUCAUCACCCGGAUACAGCCCAUCAUCACCAGGCUACAGUCCGUCAUCUCCUGGAUACAGUCCCACGUCACCUGGAUACAGCCCAACUUCGCCUGGAUACAGUCCCACCUCGCCUGGAUAUAGCCCUACCUCACCAACUUAUAGUCCAAGUUCUCCUGGUUAUAGUCCAACCAGUCCUGCCUAUUCUCCUACCAGUCCAUCGUACUCACCUACUUCACCAAGCUAUAGCCCAACCUCCCCAAGUUACAGCCCAACAUCCCCAAGCUACAGCCCGACCUCUCCAAGUUACAGCCCCACUUCUCCCAGUUACAGUCCAACUUCACCAAGCUAUAGCCCCACCUCACCGGCAUAUAGCCCCACCUCACCUGCAUAUAGCCCCACCUCACCUGCAUACAGCCCCACUUCACCAUCGUACAGCCCAACCUCUCCUUCCUACAGCCCAACAUCACCUUCGUACAGCCCUACCUCACCGUCAUACAGCCCCACUUCUCCAUCGUACAGCCCCACUUCACCAGCCUAUAGCCCCACUUCUCCUGGUUAUAGUCCAACUUCACCAAGUUAUAGCCCAACUUCACCAACCUAUAGUCCUACAUCCCCAAGCUACAAUCCUCAGUCUGCCAAAUACAGUCCGUCGCUGGCCUACUCACCAAGUAGUCCAAGAUUAUCUCCUGCCAGUCCGUACAGCCCUACAUCUCCAAAUUACAGGUAAGCCAUAGUGCGAUAUGUGGUCAAGUCUAAUGUUUGUGUUAAAAGCUGUAUCCAAUUUAUUAGGUCUUGUUUUUGAUAGAAUUCUAUAUACUGAAAUAUCUGUUGAACCUAAGACUUGCUGUAGCUGGGGAUUGGACUUGGAUGGGUUUAAAUUAUUAAUGAUUUUAUCUCUGUUGUUUUUAACAUUAUUAUAUCUGGAUGAUUAUGUU